GCCUGCCUAGCUCAAUCGGAUAGAGCGUCAGACUUUUACGCACUUAUCCACCAAGGCGAUCUGAAGGCUGCGGGUUCGACCCCCGCGGUGGGCU
Molecule: transfer RNA, 94 nt
Organism: Cylindrobasidium torrendii FP15055 ss-10
Lineage: Eukaryota; Fungi; Basidiomycota; Agaricomycetes; Agaricales; Physalacriaceae
Rfam family: tRNA
About the family: Transfer RNA (tRNA) molecules are approximately 80 nucleotides in length.
Source: Rfam